Molecule: ribosomal RNA, 440 nt
Filed under: uncultured bacterium
Lineage: Bacteria
Description: partial 16S ribosomal RNA
Rfam family: Bacterial small subunit ribosomal RNA
Source: RNAcentral
CCUACGGGGGGCAGCAGUGGGGGAUAUUGCACAAUGGGGGAAACCCUGAUGCAGCGACGCCGCGUGUGGGAAGACGGUCCUCUGGAUUGUAAACCACUGUCCCCAGGGACGAAGAUGACGGUACCUGGGGAGGAAGCUCCGGCCAACUACGUGCCAGCAGCCGCGGUAAUACGUAGGGAGCGAGCGUUGUCCGGAAUUACUGGGUGAAAAGGGAGCGUAGGCGGGACUGCAAGUUGGGUGUCAAAUCUACCGGCGCAACCGGUAGCCGCACUCAAAACUGCAGUUCUUGAGUGAAGUAGAGGCAGGCGGAAUUCCUAGUGUAGCGGGGAAAUGCGUAGAUAUUAGGAGGAACACCAGUGGCGAAGGCGGCCUGCUGGGCUUUUACUGACGCUGAGGCUCGAAAGUGUGGGGAGCAAACAGGAUUAGAUACCCCAGUAGUC